GACGAACGCUGGCGGCGUGCUUAACACAUGCAAGUCGAACGGAAAGGCCCUGCUUUUGUUGGGUGCUCGAGUGGCGAACGGGUGAGUAACACGUGAGUAACCUGCCCUGGACUUUGGGAUAACUUCAGGAAACUGGGGCUAAGACCGGAUAGGAUCUCCUGCUGCAGUGUGGGGGUUGGAAAGUGUCGGCGGUUGGGGAUGGACGCGCGGCUUAUGAGCUUGUUGGUGGGGUAGUGGCUUACCAAGGCUUUGACGGGUAGCCGGCCUGAGAGGGUGACCGGCCACAUUGGGACUGAGAUACGGCCCAGACUCCUACGGGAGGCAGCAGUGGGGAAUAUUGCACAGUGGGCGGAAGGCUGAUGCAGCAACGCCGCGUGCGGGAUGACGGCCUUCGGGUUGUAAACCGCUUUCGCCUGUGACGAAGCGUGAGUGACGGUAAUGGGUAAAGAAGCACCGGCUAACUACGUG
RNAcentral lists this ribosomal RNA (468 nucleotides) under uncultured bacterium. Its description in RNAcentral is "partial 16S ribosomal RNA". It matches the Rfam family "Bacterial small subunit ribosomal RNA", at positions 28 to 507 of the family's 1533-position model. The record is from RNAcentral.